GCCAAGCCUGGCUGGGGCUCUUAGUGCCAUGGUCUGGUUGAGUGGCCAGGGCUGGGUGCUAGGUUGGACUGGGUGAGCUUGGAGCUCUCUUCCAGCCUGCUUGAUUCCAUGAUUCUAAGGAGAUCUCCCAUGUCCCACCCUAGCUGGAAAACAUCUCCCAUGUGCCAGUCUGGUUGGGUGCUCUCUCCAUGAGACUUUGGGGUUUGAUUUGUUUGAUUUCCCACCUGGCUUUUAGCCAAAUCUCUCCCUGGUCAGUUUUGGUGGCAUUUGUUUGUUUUUCACUCCUCCUUCUACCCCCGCAGCACCUGAAGUGAAUUGAAGUCUCCUCCCACCCCAGCUGUGGCCACUUUGCCCUCCCUGCUCAGUGCCCUUUAUAAGCAGUGCAGGAGGAGCCCAGCCCUAAGCUGCGCCCAUUGUGGAUCGAGGGAUCCUCUGCCCGACGUCCCAGGGAGCUUAAUUGCUUUAGCCAAAAUCAAGUUGGAGAGAUGUGUGGAGCCUCAGCCACAAACCCUGACUGUUGGGGGAUGCUUUGAUAGCAGAAUGCAGAGCUGCUGGAAACCCAGCUCCUCCUUGCAAGUGGUUCAGAAGGGGACUCCCUUUGGAAAAUGGGGACAGAAACCUCUCUUUGAGAAUGAAGAUUAUGGAGGGGAAACUGAGGUGACUUCAGAGCAGAGAAGUGAUAUUUUGGAGGAAAAAGCUGAACAGGUCUAUUGGGAAGGAAGCAAAAACUCUGGAGGAAAAAUCUGAGGUAAACAAGAGGACACAAGUGACAUUUUAUAGGGGAAAAAAGUGAGUUAGUCUCUAGGGGAUAAAAAUGAAGACUGUAGGAGGGAAAAGCUGAGGUAAUUGGGUGGAACAGAG
Pogoniulus pusillus (Red-fronted tinkerbird) is the source of this 861-nucleotide long non-coding RNA. RefSeq lists it as uncharacterized. Lineage: Eukaryota; Metazoa; Chordata; Aves; Piciformes; Lybiidae. The record is from RefSeq and is a predicted model, not a curated record. The transcript has 3 exons.